UACGUAGGGCGCAAGCGUUGUCCGGAAUUAUUGGGCGUAAAGAGCUCGUAGGCGGCCUGUUGCGUCCGCUGUGAAAUCCCGGGGCUCAACCCCGGGCGUGCAGUGGAUACGGGCAGGCUGGAGGCAGGCAGGGGAGAACGGAAUUCCCGGUGUAGCGGUGAAAUGCGCAGAUAUCGGGAGGAACACCGGUGGCGAAGGCGGUUCUCUGGGCCUGUACUGACGCUGAGGAGCGAAAGCGUGGGGAGCGAACAGG
Molecule: ribosomal RNA, 253 nt
Filed under: uncultured bacterium
Lineage: Bacteria
Description: partial 16S ribosomal RNA
Rfam family: Bacterial small subunit ribosomal RNA
Source: RNAcentral